This 70-nucleotide transfer RNA is filed under the name Stegodyphus mimosarum. It matches the Rfam family "tRNA". Rfam says of the family: Transfer RNA (tRNA) molecules are approximately 80 nucleotides in length. Their secondary structure includes four short double-helical elements and three loops (D, anti-codon, and T loops). The record is from Rfam by way of RNAcentral. Lineage: Eukaryota; Metazoa; Arthropoda; Arachnida; Araneae; Eresidae.
GCCGUGGUGUAGUGGUCAGCACGCUCGGCGCGUAUUCGAGAGGUCCGUGGUUCGAGUCCCGGCGAGGGCG